ACGGGUGAGUAAUGCCUAGGAAUCUGCCUGGUAGUGGGGGACAACGUUUCGAAAGGAACGCUAAUACCGCAUACGUCCUACGGGAGAAAGCAGGGGACCUUCGGGCCUUGCGCUAUCAGAUGAGCCUAGGUCGGAUUAGCUAGUUGGUGAGGUAAUGGCUCACCAAGGCUACGAUCCGUAACUGGUCUGAGAGGAUGAUCAGUCACACUGGAACUGAGACACGGUCCAGACUCCUACGGGAGGCAGCAGUGGGGAAUAUUGGACAAUGGGCGAAAGCCUGAUCCAGCCAUGCCGCGUGUGUGAAGAAGGUCUUCGGAUUGUAAAGCACUUUAAGUUGGGAGGAAGGGUUGUAGAUUAAUACUCUGCAAUUUUGACGUUACCGACAGAAUAAGCACCGGCUAACUCUGUGCCAGCAGCCGCGGUAAUACAGAGGGUGCAAGCGUUAAUCGGAAUUACUGGGCGUAAAGCGCGCGUAGGUGGUUCGUUAAGUUGGAUGUGAAAUCCCCGGGCUCAACCUGGGAACUGCAUCCAAAACUGGCGAGCUAGAGUAUGGUAGAGGGUGGUGGAAUUUCCUGUGUAGCGGUGAAA
RNAcentral lists this ribosomal RNA (588 nucleotides) under Pseudomonas sp. HRRK132. RNAcentral's name for it is "bacterial SSU rRNA". It matches the Rfam family "Bacterial small subunit ribosomal RNA", at positions 102 to 686 of the family's 1533-position model. The record is from RNAcentral. Lineage: Bacteria; Pseudomonadati; Pseudomonadota; Gammaproteobacteria; Pseudomonadales; Pseudomonadaceae.